UACGUAGGGUGCAAACGUUGUCCGGAAUUACUGGGCGUAAAGAGCUCGUAGGUGGUUUGUCGCGUUGUUCGUGAAAACUCACAGCUCAACUGUGGGCGUGCGGGCGAUACGGGCAGACUGGAGUACUGCAGGGGAGACUGGAAUUCCUGGUGUAGCGGUGGAAUGCGCAGAUAUCAGGAGGAACACCGGUGGCGAAGGCGGGUCUCUGGGCAGUAACUGACGCUGAGGAGCGAAAGCGUGGGGAGCGAACAGG
RNAcentral lists this ribosomal RNA (253 nucleotides) under uncultured bacterium. RNAcentral describes it as "partial 16S ribosomal RNA". It matches the Rfam family "Bacterial small subunit ribosomal RNA", at positions 524 to 776 of the family's 1533-position model. The record is from RNAcentral.